Molecule: transfer RNA, 137 nt
Organism: Macrophomina phaseolina MS6
Lineage: Eukaryota; Fungi; Ascomycota; Dothideomycetes; Botryosphaeriales; Botryosphaeriaceae
Rfam family: tRNA
About the family: Transfer RNA (tRNA) molecules are approximately 80 nucleotides in length. Their secondary structure includes four short double-helical elements and three loops (D, anti-codon, and T loops).
Source: Rfam
GCGUUGGUGGUUUAGUGGUAAAAUUCAUCGUUGCCAAACAGAGUUGAUCCUUCCUAGAGAUACCUUCUGAAAUGGAGCUCUUCAAAGAUAUCAACAUCAGCUUCGAUGAGCCCCGGGUUCGAUUCCCGGCCGACGCA